RNAcentral lists this non-coding RNA (58 nucleotides) under Spodoptera frugiperda (fall armyworm). Lineage: Eukaryota; Metazoa; Arthropoda; Insecta; Lepidoptera; Noctuidae. The record is from RNAcentral.
GGGCGGUGACUGGCGCUAUAUUCGGUUUGUGUGCGAUAUUGCACCAGUCCCGGCCUAU